This 30-nucleotide non-coding RNA is filed under the name Rattus norvegicus (Norway rat). The record is from RNAcentral. Lineage: Eukaryota; Metazoa; Chordata; Mammalia; Rodentia; Muridae.
GUGGAUUGCUUUACGUGCCACCUUAUUGAC